AAUCCAUAGGUUAAUGAGGCGAACCGGGGGAACUGAAACAUCUAAGUACCCCGAGGAAAAGAAAUCAACCGAGAUUCCCCCAGUAGCGGCGAGCGAACGGGGAGGAGCCCAGAGCCUGAAUCAGCAUGUGUGUUAGUGGAAGCGUCUGGAAAGGCGCGCGAUACAGGGUGACAGCCCCGUACACAAAAGCGCAUGUGCUGUGAGCUCGAUGAGUAGGGCGGGACACGUGGUAUCCUGUCUGAAUAUGGGGGGACCAUCCUCCAAGGCUAAAUACUCCUGACUGACCGAUAGUGAACCAGUACCGUGAGGGAAAGGCGAAAAGAACCCCGGCGAGGGGAGUGAAAAAGAACCUGAAACCGUGUACGUACAAGCAGUGGGAGCCCCACCACCAAAGCAUUUGCUGUACCGCGUUGACG
RNAcentral lists this ribosomal RNA (416 nucleotides) under Salmonella enterica subsp. enterica serovar Enteritidis. RNAcentral describes it as "partial 23S ribosomal RNA". It matches the Rfam family "Bacterial large subunit ribosomal RNA", at positions 161 to 590 of the family's 2925-position model. The record is from RNAcentral. Lineage: Bacteria; Pseudomonadati; Pseudomonadota; Gammaproteobacteria; Enterobacterales; Enterobacteriaceae.